This 249-nucleotide ribosomal RNA is filed under the name uncultured soil bacterium. RNAcentral describes it as "partial 16S ribosomal RNA". It matches the Rfam family "Bacterial small subunit ribosomal RNA", at positions 26 to 287 of the family's 1533-position model. The record is from RNAcentral.
AGGACGAACGCUGGCGGCGUGCUUAACACAUGCAAGUCAAGGGGACCCGCAAGGGUAACCGGCGAACGGGUGCGUAACACGUGAGCAACCUACCGAGAUCUGGGGGAUAGCCGGCCCAACGGCCGGGUAAUACCGCAUACGCUCUUUCCACGGCAUUGUGGAUUGAGGAAACCUCCGGGGGAUUUCGAGGGCUCGCGGCCUAUCAGCUAGUUGGCGGGGUCACGGCUCACCAAGGCGACGACGGGUAGC